AGAUGCGAGAGUAGAGCAUAUCAAUAAGCGGAGGAAAAGAAACUAACAAGGAUUCCCUUAGUAACGGCGAGUGAAGCGGGAAGAGCUCAAAUUUGAAAUCUUCAAGGUUUUACCUUGACGAAUUGUAGUUUAAAGAAGUGUUUUCUGUUGAAGUUUUGGUAAAAGUUCUUUGGAAUAGGACAUCAUAGAGGGUGAGAAUCCCGUAUUUGACCAUUAUUUUCAGCUGUGUGAUACACUUUCAAAGAGUCGGAUUGUUUGGGAAUGCAGUCCAAAAUGGGUGGUAAAUUUCAUCUAAAGCUAAAUAUUGGCGAGAGACCGAUAGCGAACAAGUACCGUGAGGGAAAGAUGAAAAGAACUUUGAAAAGAGAGUUAAACAGUACGUGAAAUUGUCAAAAGGGAAGCGUUUGACACCAGUGUUGUUUUCUCGAAAAUCGAUUAAAAAAAGUUGGAUUUUGUGUUGUAUUGACCUUAACAGCUUUCUUCACUCUUUUCCUGCUUUUUUUAAUGCACUUUUCGUUUAACAAGUCAACAUCAGUUUCUUUUGUUGUAAAAGGGUAUGAGGAAGGUGGCUUUCAUUUCGGAUGAAAGUGUUUAUAGCCUUGUGCCUCUGCAAUCGGAGAGAUUGAGGUCUGCAGCGUAAGAUCCUUCGGGGUUAGAUACAUUUGUGCUAAGUUAUAGCUUUUCAUAGACAACUUGUUGACUAUGUUUAGUCUUGUAGCUUACUCGCUGACGCUAUUUUACCUACGCUUAGGAUGUUGACACACGCGCGUGCUCG
This 775-nucleotide ribosomal RNA is filed under the name uncultured Neocallimastigales. RNAcentral's name for it is "partial large subunit ribosomal RNA". It matches the Rfam family "Eukaryotic large subunit ribosomal RNA", at positions 23 to 621 of the family's 3401-position model. Lineage: Eukaryota; Fungi; Neocallimastigomycota; Neocallimastigomycetes; Neocallimastigales. The record is from RNAcentral.